AACGAACGCUGGCGGCAUGCCUAACACAUGCAAGUCGAACGAGACCUUCGGGUCUAGUGGCGCACGGGUGCGUAACGCGUGGGAACCUGCCCUUAGGUUCGGAAUAACUCCCCGAAAGGGGUGCUAAUACCGGAUAAUGUCUUCGGACCAAAGAUUUAUCGCCUUUGGGUGGGCCCGCGUUGGAUUAGCUAGUUGGUAGGGUAAAAGCCUACCAAGGCGACGAUCCAUAGCUGGUCUGGGAGGAUGAUCAGCCACACUGGGACUGAGACACGGCCCAGACUCCUACGGGAGGCAGCAGUGGGGAAUAUUGGACAAUGGGGGAAGGCCUGAUCCAGCAAUGCCGCGUGAGUGAUGAAGGCCUUAGGGUUGUAAAGCUCUUUUACCCGGGAUGAUAAUGACGGUACCGGGAGAAUAAGCUCCGGCUAACUCCGUG
Molecule: ribosomal RNA, 433 nt
Filed under: uncultured bacterium
Lineage: Bacteria
Description: partial 16S ribosomal RNA
Rfam family: Bacterial small subunit ribosomal RNA
Source: RNAcentral